CAUGCAGUGGAGCGGUAAGGCUCCUUCGGGAGUACACGAGCGGCGACGGGUGAUUAACACGUGAGCAAUCUGCCCUUCACACAGGGAUAACUCCGGGAAACCGAAGCUAAUACCUGAUACGACCACUUCAGGCAUCUGAUGGUGGUGGAAAGUUCCGGUGGUGAAGGAUGAGCUCGCGGCCUAUCAGCUUGUUGGUGGGGUAACGGCCCACCAAGGCAACGACGGGUAGCCGGCCUGAGAGGGUGACCGGCCACACUGGGACUGAGACACGGCCCAGACUCCUACGGGAGGCAGCAGUGGGGAAUAUUGGACAAUGGGCGAAAGCCUGAUCCAGCAACGCCGCGUGAGGGAUGACGGCCUUCGGGUUGUAAACCUCUUUCAGCAGGGACGAAGCGCAAGUGACGGUACCUGCAGAAGAAGCACCGGCCAACUACGUGCCAGCAGCCGCG
Molecule: ribosomal RNA, 449 nt
Filed under: uncultured Marmoricola sp.
Lineage: Bacteria; Bacillati; Actinomycetota; Actinomycetes; Propionibacteriales; Nocardioidaceae
Description: bacterial SSU rRNA
Rfam family: Bacterial small subunit ribosomal RNA
Source: RNAcentral